GGCGGCAGCCAUGUUGUGCCAGCAGGAGCAGCCCCGGGCCUGAGCUGUGGCCGUGGAGAGGGGCCCGAAGUGAGGCGGGAGGGCUGGGCGGGCUGCCGGGCAGUGCUGGAGCAGUGCCUGAAGAGUCGUGACCCGUCGGAGGCCAUCGGGCUGUAUUGGGAAGACGGAGUGAGAGCGGAAUGAGCACUGAGCGGUGGGGCUGGGCGGGCGGAACGGGUCGGCCACGGCCUCCGUUCUGCUGCUGCUCCUCUGGGGGAGGAGGUGGAAGAGCCUGGAUGGAUGUAAGAGUCAUGCAAGAAAAACUUGAAAACAGAGGAUUUGCCAGCUGCUGCUUGAGGAUGGACUGGGCUUCAGUUGGUGGGUGGUUUAUUGGAUGACUGGCAGCUUCUUGAGAGCUCUGUCCAUGUGAAGAGAGGGGAACUUCAAAAUGAAUAGAAGACUCCAGCCAGAAAUUGCAGAAACCACGCUAGCAUUGUGUAACCUUCUUCUGGUAACUUCACUAUAACAUCAUUAAAAGUGUUGGAAAGUUGAAUGAUUUGACAGUCUCAACAAACAAAAGAUGCUCAGUAGUGAUAAGAGCCAUGAAAAUAGUCCAUCUGAUUUGCAUAACUGGUCAGCUCCUGGUGGAUUUGAACUGGCCAGAGAGACAGAGAAAGCUGUGGCUGGGUAGUACGGUUCAGAAAGAGAAGGGAAAGGACUCUAUUUCAUUUAGGCCUAGUACUGAGUAUAAAUCCUCCAUGGCAUCUAAACUGAUUCCUCAAAUUAAGGAGCAGCCUAUGCUGCACAGAUAUAAAGAAGGUCUUGCUCACUGCAGGUGCCAUGGAAUUAGGUAUGUCAAAAUCCACAUGGAGUUACAUCUGGAGAGCGAGUAGAGAAAGAAUGUCAGACUUCAGCAUCCAUUGUUUUUUUGGGGUUUAUGUCCAUUUUUUUUCCAUAUAGCACAUUCCAUGCGAAAAUUUUGUUGUGCUGGAUCUUUGGUCCCUUGAAAUGAAAAAAGGAAAUUGUUUCCAAGCUUACAAAAAUAUAUAUAUUUACUAAGGAACAGCAAACUGAGUUUGAAGGUCAGCCUGUCAUGCACACCAACAGAUUGGAGGUGAUGUUAUGAAUGUCUAUGCACAUAUGUUAACAGAAACAUGAGGUUUUCCUCUGACAUUUAAUAUGAAAUGUAUUCUGAAGGUGUCUAGCUAAAUUAAUUAUUCUAAGACUCUCUGAAGACACCCUCUUAGAGUGAUGGUAAUCCAAAUACAUUUAUAUGUGGUUUGCAUGGAGUUGAAACUGGAUGGUCUUUUAAAGUCCAUUCCAACCCAAGCCAUUCUAUGAUUCUAUUAUAUCCUAAUGCUUUCUUUACUUGUUUUAAUUUGACAGCACCAUGUAUUAUUUCCUAUAACUCCAUGCCUAAUGUAUAGUUUUCUUUUGGGUGAGUUGGUGCCAUCAUGCACUUUGAGGGAAAGAUAUUUUAUGUAUGUCCUUUAUUUGUGUUUGGUUUGAAUUCCUUAUCCUGAUAAUCAGAUUCUCGAAGUUGCUACAGAUAAAGAUAGAAGAGAAAAGCUGCCCAAUUUAAGCUUUCAAAUGUUUUAUUCUUUUGUGUUCUUAUCUGGAAAACAUUUGUAAAUUUAGAUCAAUUUGGAUGUCCUUUGCCUCAUCUUAGUCUUGUGUACAUGAAUAAUUUUCAGUCCACUGUUUUUGUUUACUGAUGCAAAAUUACUCAAUAAAUUUUCCAUUAUGCUACCAUUAGGAUAUGUUUUCUGUGCAAAAGUGUUUCCCUGGGAGAAACCAUUAUAGAUUUAAUUAAUUUUCUGUAGGAAGUGUGAAGUCAGAUAUUAAGUGCAAUCAACAUCGUGAACCAUUUUUUAUGAGAUAGGUAGUUCACAGUACGUUGAAAAUGCAGCACUGAAGAAUUAUGAG
Coturnix japonica (Japanese quail) is the source of this 1905-nucleotide non-coding RNA. The record is from RefSeq and is a predicted model, not a curated record. Lineage: Eukaryota; Metazoa; Chordata; Aves; Galliformes; Phasianidae.